AACCAUUUGGCCACUGUCCAUGUUUCCCGCACGGACCUUUCUGGCAGACGGACGCACUGUUGCACCCACAAUGGACCAGUGAAAAACAAAACAAUAGAAGAGCGUCUGUGUGCCUAAUGAUGUGGCCCCACACUCUCGUGUGAAGGAGAGUUCUCCAGACCUCGCCACCUGCAGCUCACGUGCAGACAGCUGGCGACAGCUCAGCCGGCACUUCUCUCAUUCAAGCCAAAGAAUCCCUGGAGGCGCUUGGCUGCAUUACAGCAUCCUCAUUACAGUUCGUCUCUCGCCGAGCUUGCGGCAUCACAGCUCAUUGGGCCGGUAAAAGUCUUCAGGUUGUUUCAUAUGGUUUUUGUAACCUUUCGGAUUUUGGGCCUGCCUCCUCCACAUCUUCUGCCUCGCCGCUUCCAUUUGCCUCUAAAAAUAUUCUCCCGUCAACAGAGCUGCAUUAAAGUAGUUAGAUCAUUGUGGACGUAUUCUGCAGUUUAGCACAAAGGAGACAUGCAUGCAUUACAGGAGAAGAGCCCUGGUGAGAGGCAGCAACACGACACUUACAAAAGCCUCCGCAUCUUCUUUUUUUUCUUCUUUUUUUGGGCUCUGUAUCCGCAUGGAAUAACAAAGGCGCUCAAGCUUAUGUCACCGGCAAUGAGUGUGUACGGAGCCGCUUUCAAACUGUCCAAACUGUUUUUCCGCAUGAGAUGAUGAAGCUAAACCGGAUGGCCCCCAAUUCCCACGUCUCCACUUGUAAAAGAUGCACGGUAAUUUGGGAGAACGUUUGUAACCCAAGGGUAGCACCGUGGGGUAAUGGUUAGCACGUCGGCCUCACAAUUGAGACAUCCUGCACUUGAAUCCCAGUUUCAGCCUUCAUAUGUGGAGCUUGCAUGUUUUUUUUCUGGGUAUAUGCCAUAUGUCUAAAGGUGUGAAUGUGAGUGUCAAUGAUUGCUUGUCUAUACAGUAUGUGCCAUAUGCAAUUGACAUCAUUUUAGGUUCAUUGAAGAUGUAAAUUGUCCAUAGGUGUCAAAGUGAGUGUGAAUGGUUGUUUGUUUAAAAAGUCAACUGGGAGAGGCUCCAGCUAUCCCGCAACCCUAAUGAGGACACGCACUAUAGAAAAUGGAUGGCUGCAUGGAUUUUUGACUCAGCACCACAAUGGCUGGAAUUCCCCAGCUGUGUUGGCAUGAUGGCAUUUGGAAGCGAUGAUGGACAGAUUAUUGCGGCUUCCCCUGCGAGCUCAGAAGACGCCUCCAACCGGGGCGUCAGCAGGAGAGAACGGGUUGCAUCUGCAGAUGUUGGCACACCUUAUUUAUUUAUUCAUAAAGUGUGCACAUUGUGCGCUACUGGCUCACAGGGCCCGUGUUGAAAGGUCAAAACGCGGGCUAAUUGGGGAAAGAUGCACAGAUUAACAGGAAUUGGGGCUCGACUGGAGCCACACAUUGACUAAAGGGAUCUUUAAUUGAGUCCAGAUGGAGCCAAAGGAAAAUGGAACCUGUUGGAACAAAUGGACCAACCUCUUAGAGCCAAUUACUGUUGGUGCAACGACACAUGGGAAAUACGUAACAGAGAAAAGCUGCUUGGAAAAGGUCAGGCACCUUGUAUUUAAUACAGACCAGAAAAAUCCAUCCCUUUUAUACAGUGCUUGUCCUCAUUAAGGUCGCAGGUGAGAACUUGGUUUGUCAUUCAUACAGUCCUGUCGGCGUGUUUUUUUUUUUUUGGUCCGUUUUGUCAUUUGCUAAUGGGGCAGCCGGUGCUUGAGCCAUGUGAACUCUACCUAGCAACAAAACAUUUUGGUCGAAUUGUAUUCAAAUUAUUGACGUUCCACUGUACAGUAAUCCCUUGCUAUGGGACCAAGCACUGCCUUGAAUCGCCAAAAAAUGUGAGCGAGAUAUUGACAUCCCCCUCAAAGUUUUGAUAAUUCCCUAUAUUAAACAGCUUAAACCAUAAAUAUACCACAACCUUUGAUCCCAAUUAAGUUUAAUAUCAUUUAGAACUCAUCAUUUUACAACAUUACUCUUGCAAAUAAAUGGUUUACAGAUUAUUUGAUUUAAAAUAAAAUGCAGCAGAAGUGGGUGUGCACAGGUGGCAAAGACUCUGCGGAACAUCCACUAACCAUCCAGGCCAAAUUUAGCUCCUUCCUGACACAAAGCUUGUCUCUCAGUCGAGAUGUAUCACUUCAAAUAUACUUCACUGACAGUGCUUUCCUACACAGACAGGCCUUUUGUGGCAUUUUGUAGCAUCCUAGGGCUUUUCAGAAAGAGCGCAAAAAAGCAAAUAAGUGAGGAGCGGUUCCACAGAAAAAGAUGAUAAUAGGUAAAUUUGUGACUAGUGAACUGCUAAAGCGCAAAAGAUGACUUGUAGUUUCAGGUAAUUGAGUCAUAUUGUCCACUAGUGAUGUGCAAUAUGGACUUUGGAAGUUCUGUAUCUUGAUAUACUGUAGGUCAUUUCAUAUCCCGAAAACGAUAUAUAUCCCAAUAUAGUAUUUUUCCUUAAAAUGACAUGAAAGUAAUAGCAAAUAUUUGAGAUCUUUUCUCUGUUUAUUUAAAAAACACAUACUGUAUAUAGAAAAACCAUUCAAUGGAUAAAAGAUAAAUAAAAAUACAUACUUUCCAGUGGGAAAAAUACCAUUCAAAAUACUGUAUCUGGUAGUACAACCAGUUUUCAAGGAAUGUGCACUGUUGUUGUGUACAUUGUAAUGUACAAUGUUGCCUACAUCCAUGCUCCUAUAGCAGUGCUGUAAACGAGUAUUUGUGCGUGAUGUAGUAGCAUUAUUGCAGUUACAGUACAUUACCCUUCAUUCAUUUUUCACACAAUGUUAGUGCGGCAUCCGAGGUGUCGGGUCACUUUUGUCACACGGAAACUCACAAACGGUGGCCAUCCAACGCAGUCCUGGCCGAGGCUCAAACCCACGUUAAGGGUGUCUCCCUGGCGUGCUAAACACCAACUGCCACUACUCGAAAGGCUCACGAGGAGUGAGGUUAGACUAAUGUACGUACUUUUGCACAGCGCGAGCUGGCAUCUGUUACACAUGCACACUGCAGAGACUCCGUUUAUUGAACUCAGCUCACAAGAGACCAGCAUAAAAGCCUAUUCACACUGCACUUGGCAAACUGUCUAACGCCCUGGAUUUUCCCAUUCAUUGUGUGUGUGGAGAGGGCGCGUCAGCACAUUUUGACAUGACGCCCAGCGUCGCGUCAACGAGGAGGGCAUCUGACGCCCAGCGUCGCGUCAUCGGAUGGAAAAAUCUUCUAUUUUGGAGCUUUGGCGCAGUGACGUCAAAAAGCUCCUCCAAUGGGAGAGAGGCCGGCAGCGUGAUUUCUGAGUGUUAUUUUGGCACAGUUGUACUGUAAACGUCAAGGGGGAAAUGGAGGAAGGCGUAAUGUUUGCAGUGUCCCACUAUCCCGAACUUUUGGCUAAUAGGAAAAUGAUAUUCUGAGAGAUCUCACCAGGAGGCUUUCAAACUCCCUUUCAAAGCUCCCUGCUCAGACUGAACUACACCCGAAGCGCUCAUACUGGAACAAGAAAGCUCACAAACAAGUUGAACUGGGAGAUACUGCCGUGAAAUUCCCGUUCCCUUUUUAAAUUUGUUUUAAUUUUUGCUGCUGAGUCAUCUCCUCCUCCUUAAAAUAAGUAACGUUAGGGCUUUGUUUCUCAACAAUGACAAAUACAUAUUGCCAGGUUGCGGUCCACUCAGCAGGGAACGCCUCCCGAUUUCCU
This is a long non-coding RNA of Phyllopteryx taeniolatus (common seadragon), 3705 nucleotides long. RefSeq lists it as uncharacterized. The record is from RefSeq and is a predicted model, not a curated record. NCBI's taxonomy places the organism in Eukaryota, Metazoa, Chordata, Actinopteri, Syngnathiformes, Syngnathidae. The transcript is spliced from 2 exons.